CCUACGGGAGGCAGCAGUGGGGAAUAUUGCACAAUGGGGGAAACCCUGAUGCAGCGACGCCGCGUGAGUGAAGAAGGCUUUCGGUAUGUAAAGCACUAUCAGCAGGGAAGAAAAUGACGGUUCCUGACUAAGAAUCCCCGGCUAACUACGUGCCAGCAGCCGCGGUAAUACGUCGGGGGCAAGCGUUAUCCGGAUUUACUGGGUGUAAAGGGAGCGUAGACGGCGCGGCAAGUCUGAAGUGAAAGGCAGGGGCUUAACCCCUGAACUGCUUUGGAGACUGCCAUGCUAGAGUGCUGGAGAGGGAAGUGGAAUUCCUAGUGUAGCGGUGAAAUGCGUAGAUAUUAGGAAGAACACCGGUGGCGAAGGCGGCCUGCUGGGCUGUAACUGACGUUGAGGCCCGAAGGCGUGGGGAGCAAACAGGAUUAGAUACCCUUGUAGUC
Molecule: ribosomal RNA, 440 nt
Filed under: uncultured bacterium
Lineage: Bacteria
Description: partial 16S ribosomal RNA
Rfam family: Bacterial small subunit ribosomal RNA
Source: RNAcentral